GGGCGGUUAGCUCAGCUGGUUAGAGCGCACGCCUGAUAAGCGUGAGGUCGGUGGUUCAAGUCCACUACCGCCCACCA
Molecule: transfer RNA, 77 nt
Filed under: Deinococcota bacterium
Lineage: Bacteria; Thermotogati; Deinococcota
Also listed under: 2 other names
Description: tRNA-Ile
Rfam family: tRNA
About the family: Transfer RNA (tRNA) molecules are approximately 80 nucleotides in length. Their secondary structure includes four short double-helical elements and three loops (D, anti-codon, and T loops).
Source: RNAcentral